UGUUCAAGUGAUUGUUAUGCAUGUAUUACUAAAUCUGAUCUGAUAUGGUAACAUUCUUUUCUCUGAUGAUCAGGACAACUAAACUUGCUAAGAAGCUUAGGAACAGUCAUGUGCUGACUCAAUACUACGCUUAGAAGAAUCGUUUGCUCCUGGCCUACUUACAUCCAUGUUGGUAGACUUGAAGAUACUGAGGUUAUUUUUGAUCCCAUGAACCAGCAAAUGGUGGCAAAUUUGAAAAGGUGGAAGAAUUAUAAGUUCAGGACAGCUCUGAAGCUUGUGGUUGUAGAAAGCAUAUGGGAUCAUUUUCAGGGUAAUAAAUCUACAUGGGGAAGCGGUUACUUGCGAUGCUGUGGUGAAUCGGACUCUAACUACUAAUAGUUCAGAAUAAGAUUUGAAGAAUCUAUACAGAAAAUUAAGAGGCGGCCGGCAUCAACAUGUGUCUGGCAAAUUAUUGUUACUUUAUACCUCAAUUUAUUUGUGUUUGAAUAUGGUGCCUUUUUGUGCAUCCAUUUUUUUAUUUUUCCACAAUCAAAAGCUCAUUUCCACUGCAUUAAAGAUAUAUAGCUAAUGAGACCGUUGUAUAAGCUGAAUUAAUUUCAUGUGGUUAUCAUUAUCAUUUUAUCAUAUGGUGGAUUGUUUGCUAUAUUUUCUUCUUACAAUACUCGGUUUAUGCAUGUUUUACUCAAA
Non-coding RNA from Lolium perenne, 687 nucleotides. The record is from RefSeq and is a predicted model, not a curated record. Lineage: Eukaryota; Viridiplantae; Streptophyta; Magnoliopsida; Poales; Poaceae.